UACGAAGGGGGCUAGCGUUGUUCGGCAUUACUGGGCGUAAAGCGCGCGCAGGCGGUUUUCCAAGUCAGUGGUUAAAGCCCAGAGCUCACCUCCGGAACUGCCUUUGAAACUGUGGAGCUCGAGUGCGGGAGAGGUGAGUGGAAUUCCCAGUGUAGAGGUGAAAUUCGUAGAGAUUGGGAAGAACACCGGUGGCGAAGGCGGCUCACUGGCCCGUUUCUGACGCUCAUGCACGACAGCGUGGGGAUCAAACAGG
Molecule: ribosomal RNA, 253 nt
Filed under: uncultured bacterium
Lineage: Bacteria
Description: partial 16S ribosomal RNA
Rfam family: Bacterial small subunit ribosomal RNA
Source: RNAcentral